GUAUUACCUGCGGCGGGCCAAGAUGGCGACGUGUACCUGUCCUCACAGGCACGCCCAGAGGCUGAGGUGAAGGCUGGGAUAGCGGGAUAGCCAAUUUUGACUCGCAGCUGUAGGGUCUGCUCCAAAACUGUGGACGUUUUGCUUCUUUACCGCUUGGUGCCAGCAAAGGAGCGUCAAACAAUCUGUGGGCAGCGCCGAGAGCGCUUUUUAAAGCCGUAGAAAUCUGAUCCAGAGAUUCACGGGUGAGGAUGAAUGGUCAUGGGAGCUGUCUUGAAACAGGCUACUGUGUUGCCCUGAACUUGAAGGAAGAGAUGUUACUGAGGGGAACAGAAAUCACUGAGUGCUGGUGCAUGUUGUCCAAAGAACUGGUUGGUAAGCCCUGCUCUAUCCACACAAAUUGGUGUCCGAAUACAUCCAUAAUGUGUAUGGUAUAAGUAAGGUUUGGUUGUUGGAACUAAGCUAAGG
Molecule: long non-coding RNA, 465 nt
Filed under: Coturnix japonica (Japanese quail)
Lineage: Eukaryota; Metazoa; Chordata; Aves; Galliformes; Phasianidae
Description: lncRNA (ENSCJPG00005011502.1)
Source: RNAcentral